Gossypium raimondii (Peruvian cotton) is the source of this 107-nucleotide non-coding RNA. The record is from Rfam. Lineage: Eukaryota; Viridiplantae; Streptophyta; Magnoliopsida; Malvales; Malvaceae.
AACCCAUGGUGAGGGAACUUUCUCAAUAAAUCCUUAUACCUAUCCCAUGCAUAAUAUAGGGCCUCUAAAUCAUUCUGAACGAAGGAAGAGAUAUCAUUCCUCAGCUU